UUCUCUUAGUCUAAUUAUUCAUUGUGGUAUGGAUUUGACCCAAAAUUUUUGAAGGCUGUGCCAGUGGAAUAUAAGCUCUGUAAAAUAUUUCCUGUCCUCAAGGAGCUCAAAUUCUGUGAUGGGAGACAACAUAUACACCCAGAAGUGAAUAUAAAAUAUAUACUACAAAGUCAUUUCAGAGAAAGAGAAAACUAAUAACCUGGAACAAAUAAAGGCUUCCUGUAAGAAGUGGCACUUUAUAUAACUCUUGAAAUGAGAUAUGGAUUCCACCAUUGAAAGUGACAGAAGAGAAUCUUCAAGGCAGGAGUACAACCUAUCCAAAGGCAUGAAGGAGUUCAUCUAUAAGGAAGAUGAUUUCCAAGUUUCAAGAAAUUUCUUUAUAUAG
RNAcentral lists this long non-coding RNA (385 nucleotides) under Monodelphis domestica (gray short-tailed opossum). RNAcentral describes it as "lncRNA (ENSMODG00000045572.1)". Lineage: Eukaryota; Metazoa; Chordata; Mammalia; Didelphimorphia; Didelphidae. The record is from RNAcentral.